This 468-nucleotide ribosomal RNA is filed under the name uncultured bacterium. RNAcentral describes it as "partial 16S ribosomal RNA". It matches the Rfam family "Bacterial small subunit ribosomal RNA", at positions 28 to 507 of the family's 1533-position model. The record is from RNAcentral.
GACGAACGCUGGCGACGUGCUUAACACAUGCAAGUCGAACGGAAAGGCCCUGCUUUUGUGGGGUGCUCGAGUGGCGAACGGGUGAGUAACACUUGAGUAACCUGCCCUUGACUUUGGGAUAACUUCAUGAAACUGGGGCUCAUCCCGGCUAGGAGCUCCUGCUGCAUGGUGGGGGUUGGAAAGUUUCGGCGGUUGGGGAUGGACUCGCGGCUUAUCAGCUUGUUGGUUGGGUAGUGUCUUACCAAGGCUUUGAGAGGUAGCCGGGCUGCGAGGGUGACCGGACACACUGGGACGGAGAUAAGGCACAGACUAGUACGGGAGGCAGCAGUGGGGAAUAGUGCACAAGGGGCGGAAGCAUGAUGCAGCAAAGCAGCGUGCGGGAUGACGGCAAUCGGGUUGCAAACCGAUGUCGCCUGUGACGAAGCGUGAGUGACGGUAAUGGGUAAAGAAGCACCGGCUAACUACGUG